RNAcentral lists this ribosomal RNA (441 nucleotides) under uncultured bacterium. RNAcentral's name for it is "partial 16S ribosomal RNA". It matches the Rfam family "Bacterial small subunit ribosomal RNA", at positions 338 to 795 of the family's 1533-position model. The record is from RNAcentral.
CCUACGGGAGGCAGCAGUGGGGGAUAUUGCACAAUGGGGGGAACCCUGAUGCAGCGACGCCGCGUGGGUGAAGGAGUGCUUCGGCAUGUAAAGCCCUAUCGGCAGGGAAGAAGCAAGACGGUACCUGACUAAGAAGCCCCGGCUAACUACGUGCCAGCAGCCGCGGUAAUACGUAGGGGGCGAGCGUUCUCCGGAUUCACUGGGUGUAACGGGAACGUAGACGGCCAAGCAAGCCAGGGGUGAAAGCCCGGGGCCCAACCCCGGGACUGCCCUUGGAACUGCAUGGCUGGAGUGCGGGGUGGGCAGGCGGAAUUCCUGGUGGAGCGGUGAAAGGCGUAGAUAUCAGGAGGAACACCGGCGGAGAAGGCGGCCUGCUGGACCGCGACUGACGUUGAGGCUCGAAAGCGUGGGGAGCGAACAGGAUGAGAUACCCUUGUAGUC